UGUAACAUGUUCAGUGUUCAGUGACCU
RNAcentral lists this non-coding RNA (27 nucleotides) under Mus musculus (house mouse). Lineage: Eukaryota; Metazoa; Chordata; Mammalia; Rodentia; Muridae. The record is from RNAcentral.